This 253-nucleotide ribosomal RNA is filed under the name uncultured bacterium. RNAcentral describes it as "partial 16S ribosomal RNA". It matches the Rfam family "Bacterial small subunit ribosomal RNA", at positions 524 to 776 of the family's 1533-position model. The record is from RNAcentral.
UACGUAGGGUGCAAGCGUUAAUCGGAAUUACUGGGCGUAAAGUGUGCGCAGGUGGCUGAGCAAGUCGAGUGUGAAAUCCCCGGGCUUAACUUGGGAAUUGCGCUCGAAACUACUUGGCUCGAGUGUGGCAGAGGAAGGUGGAAUUCCAGGUGUAGCGGUGAAAUGCGUAGAGAUCGGCAGGAACACCCAGGGGGAAACCAGUCGACUGGGCAUCUACUGACGCUGAGGUGCGAGAGCGUGGGGAGCGAACCGG